This 695-nucleotide ribosomal RNA is filed under the name uncultured Bacilli bacterium. RNAcentral describes it as "bacterial SSU rRNA". It matches the Rfam family "Bacterial small subunit ribosomal RNA", at positions 68 to 743 of the family's 1533-position model. Lineage: Bacteria; Bacillati; Bacillota; Bacilli. The record is from RNAcentral.
UUUCGCCGGAGCUUGCUCCACCGAAAGAAAAGGAGUGGCGAACGGGUGAGUAACACGUGGGUAACCUGCCCAUCAGAAGGGGAUAACACUUGGAAACAGGUGCUAAUACCGUAUAACAAUCGAAACCGCAUGGUUUCGGUUUGAAAGGCGCUUUUGCGUCACUGAUGGAUGGACCCGCGGUGCAUUGGCUAGUUGGUGAGGUAACGGCUCACCAAGGCAACGAUGCAUAGCCGACCUGAGAGGGUGAUCGGCCACAUUGGGACUGAGACACGGCCCAAACUCCUACGGGAGGCAGCAGUAGGGAAUCUUCGGCAAUGGACGCAAGUCUGACCGAGCAACGCCGCGUGAGUGAAGAAGGUUUUCGGAUCGUAAAACUCUGUUGUUAGAGAAGAACAAGGAUGAGAGUAAAAUGUUCAUCCCUUGACGGUAUCUAACCAGAAAGCCACGGCUAACUACGUGCCAGCGGCCGCGGUAAUACGUAGGUGGCAAGCGUUGUCCGGAUUUAUUGGGCGUAAAGCGAGCGCAGGCGGUUUCUUAAGUCUGAUGUGAAAGCCCCCGGCUCAACCGGGGAGGGUCAUUGGAAACUGGGGAACUUGAGUGCAGAAGAGGAGAGUGGAAUUCCAUGUGUAGCGGUGAAAUGCGUAGAUAUAUGGAGGAACACCAGUGGCGAAGGCGGCUCUCUGGUCUGUAACUGA